CAUGUAUUUAGAUUUUGGAUAUUGGACCAUAAUAGGUAAAUGUCCAAUUUAAAAUUUUUAUUAUAAGUUUUUAAGUUUAAGUUCUUAGACCACAUUCAUUCUGUGUCAGAAACCUAUGUUGUGUCAACUAUUUAAUCACAAUCCAAAUUCAGAGCUGUAUCAAGCUUAAAUGUUGUGUCCAUACUUGCCCCAACUGUUCAGGCUUCAACAUCUGCGGUCGUAUAAAGCUACGCCUUGCAGAGCAUCUGGUUUCAUCAAUAUUCAUGUUUAUACAUUGUGCAAUUUUAGAUCUGACGAAAUGAUGAAUCUUAAUCCGAUUGUAGUUUUAUAACUUAUUUUUUUUAGAUAUCAAGAAGUGAUUAAAUUUUAGAUUUUAUUUUAUAUUCUAUGUUUACUACACAAAUACAUUACUUUGAGUCUUGCUUUUUAGUUCAAGUUUGACCAGUAUAGUGUAAUAUGAAUGUAUUUGUGUGUUGUAUUGUCUGUGAAUAUUUGUCAGGGCAUUUUUCAUCAUAACCUGAAUGUCAAAAAUACUGCACAUCUUAGGUCAUUGGGUUGCUAUCUCAUUGACAUAUUUUUUAUCUCCUGUUAUAUCCAAUUAUAUUUAUUGUAUAUGGAGUGAUUUCAGCUUUUAUGGAUUUAUGAGAAGGCACUCUAGAUUUUUUAAGUUAGUAAAGUUGUACUAGUUAUUUGUGAAAAAUACCCAGCAUCCAUGUAUUUCUGAAAUCCAAUGUACAGCAGAAAAUUCAAAAGCCAGAAUAUGAAUUUUCUACAAGACACUUAUGUACAUUAUUUUUUGUGAAGUAGCUAGCCUAGCACCUUCAUUUCUCUUGUCAGAAGGGAAAAAACCAUAGAACACAUUAAUUUCAAAGGCUAAGGAUUCCUUCAUAAAUUUUAUCAGAAUCCUUAGCCUUUUUCAUGAAAUUUGUAAUAAUUUUUUCAUCAAAUAUUGUAAUUAAAAAUCUUAGUAUCAAUUAUAUAAAAUAAACAAAUAUGGUUAAAUGUUGCAUUCCAUGUUUUAUACAUUUCCAGGGGCCAUGAAAAU
RNAcentral lists this long non-coding RNA (1045 nucleotides) under Mytilus galloprovincialis (Mediterranean mussel). The record is from RNAcentral. Lineage: Eukaryota; Metazoa; Mollusca; Bivalvia; Mytilida; Mytilidae.